UGGUCAAGUUAUUAAGGGUGCAGGGCGGAUGCCUUGGCACUAGGAGCCGAUGAAGGACGUGAUAAGCUGCGAUAAGCUUCGGGGAGUUGCACGUAAACUUUGAUCCGAAGAUUUCCGAAUGAGGAAACUCACUUAGAGUAAUGUCUAAGUAUCAUUAAGUGAAUACAUAGCUUAAUGAGGGGAACUCAGGGAACUGAAACAUCUAAGUACCUGAAGGAAGAGAAAGAAAUUCGAUUCCGUAAGUAGCGGCGAGCGAACGCGGAUUAGCCCAAACCAAUAAAGUUUUCUUUAUUGGGGUUGCGGACAUAUCAUAACGAAGAGGUAUCGUAAUUGAAGAGGUUUGGAAAGACCCACCACAGAAGGUAAUAGUCCUGUAUGUUAAACGAGAAGACUUUAGAUAUGAUCCAGAGUACCACGGGACACGUGAAACCCUGUGGGAAGCAGGAGGGACCACCCUCCAAGGCUAAAUACUACCUAGUGACCGAUAGCGUAUAGUACCGUGAGGGAAAGGUGAAAAGAACCCCGGGAGGGGAGUGAAAUAGAACCUGAAACCCUGCACUUACAAGCUGUGGAAGCACAUUUCUUGUGUGACC
RNAcentral lists this ribosomal RNA (593 nucleotides) under Clostridioides difficile. RNAcentral's name for it is "bacterial LSU rRNA". It matches the Rfam family "Bacterial large subunit ribosomal RNA", at positions 1 to 598 of the family's 2925-position model. The record is from RNAcentral. Lineage: Bacteria; Bacillati; Bacillota; Clostridia; Peptostreptococcales; Peptostreptococcaceae.